RNAcentral lists this ribosomal RNA (315 nucleotides) under uncultured eukaryote. RNAcentral's name for it is "partial 18S ribosomal RNA". It matches the Rfam family "Eukaryotic small subunit ribosomal RNA", at positions 1470 to 1796 of the family's 1831-position model. The record is from RNAcentral.
CCCUUAGACGUUCUGGGCCGCACGCGCGCUACACUGACCAGUGCAACAAGCAUCCGUCCUUGGCCGACAGGCCCGGGCAAUCUUUGAACGCUGGUCGUGAUGGGGAUAGACUUUUGCAAUUUUUGGUCUUCAACGAGGAAUUCCUAAUAAACGCAAGUCAUCAACUUGCAUUGAUUACGUCCCUGCCCUUUGUACACACCGCCCGUCGCACCUACCGAUUGAAUGGUCCGGUGAAGCCUCCGGAUUGGCGCGCACCUCGGUGCCGCCGAGAAGUUGGCUAAACCUUACCAUUUAGAGGAAGGUGAAGUCGUAACA